Molecule: ribosomal RNA, 1131 nt
Filed under: Triticum aestivum (bread wheat)
Lineage: Eukaryota; Viridiplantae; Streptophyta; Magnoliopsida; Poales; Poaceae
Description: partial small subunit ribosomal RNA
Source: RNAcentral
UUGGACAUCAAUCAAGGAUCCAAGGAAUCCAUGGCCAUGAAUGAUAGCAACUAUGCAACUAUCCUUGACGAUUUGCCCGAGGCAAUCAUCAUCGAUGAGGUACUCCUUAGAUUACCAGCAAAGGAUGUUCUCCGGUGCCGCAUGGUCCGCAAGUCAUGGUGUCACGCCACCUCCACCAAAGACUUCCUCGUUGCGCACCACAAGCGCCAACCCUCGCUUCCAGUCAUCAAACAAAUCAAGUACAUCAACAACCACUAUAUUUUUGCCUUAUGUGACUCUAGUACCAUUGCUGCAAGAAGCAAGCUUUGUUGUCUACCCAUCUUCCGGUACCCUAUCCCACACCUUGAUAAUGGAAGAUUUUUUAUCUAUGCUAUCUGUGAUGGCCUCAUCAUUGUGCCUGUCUGUGAAGAGAUGGGACUCUUCGAUGUUUGCAAUCCAACUACUCGUCAGCAUGCUCCCCUACGGUUGCUUCGGGGACACAUGCUACCAAAUAGAUCCGUUCAGAUAUCCGCAUUGUACCAACAUCACCCAUCGGGAGAAUACCGGGUGCUCUACUCGAUAUGGACAAGAAAUGAGGUUCUUCAAAAUUGCACAAUUGAUUUUUGUGUCCUCACAGUGGGAUCCAAUAAGCCCAGGCCCAUCGGACAACCCCCAGUAGAAUAUAAGUUAUUGAAUCUACUCACAUGUUCUUCGAAUGCCCCAGUACUACACCGGGGUAACCUACAUUGGAAGUUGGGAACAUACUCAUACUAUGAUGCUGGCAACAUAAUGGUGUUUGACACUACAGCCGAGGCAUUCCGGUGGAUGCUCGGUCCCACCCAUACCUACAUUUCAAAGUCAUUGUUGGAGAUGGAUAGUGCUCUUGGUAUGUGUUGUAGUCAGAAUUUCAUUGUCACAGAUAUUUAUGUUAUCCAGGACUAUGAGGCUGAAGUUUGGGACUUCAUGUAUCGGAUUAACAUAUCAGAAUUGGAGGAUUCACCGCCAAUCGAUUACCGCAUAAGAUGUGUUGAAAAGAUUGCUAUGCUCAAUGAGCGUGAGUUACUGAUCGAGCUAUUGGGUGGGAGUGUUCUACACUGCGACAUUGAUGGCAAGUUUCUAGGAAUUAUUGAAUGUGAUGAAGGUGAAAAAAAC